CGAGCUUUGUUCCUGCUCGGUCCACCCCUCCUAGAGCUCUUCCUAGUUAGCAGCACCUGCCAGGUGGGAGCUGUGUGUUGCCCGCUGCUGCGUGGGAGGCGGGGGAGUGCGUGUAUGUGGGAAGCGUCCAGCUUACCGCACAUGUGGGAGCCAGCGCAGCGGCAGACACCCCUCUCUCGCACCGCUGCCCAGCAACCAGGCCUCGGUGCUAGGUAAGAAAAGGAGAUGUCUCAAGUAAGAGGACUUUUGCUCUGGUGGGACUACUUUUCUAAUACUGCUUUCCAGGUUUGGGUAAAUUGGAUGAAGCAGGAAGUUGCUCUGAACUUUAUAAGAUGAUCCCAGGACUCAUUAUGUGGAGAAAGAAGGAGGUAUAGAUAUAAAUACCGGCACUGAACACUAUACAUGGGACCCCAGUAAAGGAGCUUCCAAUUUGUUUACUCUGAAAAUGCCAAAAGGAGAAGUUGGUGAUUGAUUUUCUUCUUACUGUGAAGAUGUUAACAAUGAUAUCUGCUACUUUUAUAUCACCUACUUUUUAACCUCUGCCUGCAGAAGAAUAUCAUGGAAGAACAAGUUCCAGAACAGGAAGACAGAGGUACUUGGUAUAUGCCAAUAGGAAGCAAGUCACUGUCAGGUUAUACCUGUGAGAAAUUUGGACUAAACUUGCAGCAGAGACUGGAAUAGAAGCUUGGACUGAAAAGAUCUGAAAUGGCACAUGAAAGUCCUAAUACUGUGGUGCUCUUUCUUUAGGAAUGAAUGAUA
Molecule: long non-coding RNA, 759 nt
Organism: Talpa occidentalis (Iberian mole)
Lineage: Eukaryota; Metazoa; Chordata; Mammalia; Eulipotyphla; Talpidae
Exons: 6
Source: RefSeq, a predicted model, not a curated record